AUUGAACGCUGGCGGCAGGCCUAACACAUGCAAGUCGAACGAGUGGCGGACGGGUGAGUAAUGUAUGGGAAACUGCCUGAUGGAGGGGGAUAACUACUGGAAACGGUAGCUAAUACCGCAUACCAUCGGAUGUGCCCAGAUGGGAUUCGCUAGUAGGUGGGGUAAAGGCUCACCUAGGCGACGAUCCCUAGCUGGUCUGAGAGGAUGAACAGCCACACUGGAACGGAGAAACGGCCCAGACUCCAACGGGGGGCAGCAGGGGGGAAUAUUGCACAAUGGGCGCAAGCCUGAUGCAGCCAUGCCGCGUGUAUGAAGAAGGCCUUCGGGUUGUAAAGUACUUUCAGCGGGGAGGCGUUACCCGCAGAAGAAGCACAGGCUAACUCCGUGCCAGCAGCCGCGGUAAUAC
This 406-nucleotide ribosomal RNA is filed under the name uncultured bacterium. Its description in RNAcentral is "partial 16S ribosomal RNA". It matches the Rfam family "Bacterial small subunit ribosomal RNA", at positions 29 to 526 of the family's 1533-position model. The record is from RNAcentral.